GGAUUAGAUACCCUGGUAGUCCACGCCGUAAACGAUGUGCACUAAAUAUUGGAGGAUUUACCCCUUCAGUGUUGUAGCUAACGCGUUAAGUGCACCGCCUGGGGAGUACGGUCGCAAGACUAAAACUCAAAGGAAUUGACGGGGGCCCGCACAAGCGGUGGAUUAUGUGGUUUAAUUCGAAGCAACGCGCAGAACCUUACCUAGGCUUGAAAUCCCGAGAAUCUAACUGAAAGGUUGGAGUGCUCUUCGGAGAAUUCGGUGACAGGCGCUGCAUGGCUGUCGUCAGCUCGUGUUG
Molecule: ribosomal RNA, 295 nt
Filed under: uncultured bacterium
Lineage: Bacteria
Description: partial 16S ribosomal RNA
Rfam family: Bacterial small subunit ribosomal RNA
Source: RNAcentral